CAAUAGCGUAUAUUUAAGUUGUUGCAGUUAAAAAGCUCGUAGUUGGAUUUCGGUUAAGAGCGACCGGUCCGCCGUUUGGUGUGCACUGGUUGGUUUUAACUUCCUGUAGAGGACGUGCUCUGGGUUUAACGACCUGGACUCGGAGUCUACGUGGUUACUUUGAAAAAAUUAGAGUGUUCAAAGCGGGCUUACGCUUGAAUAUUUCAGCAUGGAAUAACGCUAUAGGACUCCUGUCCUAUUUCGUUGGUCUCGGGACGGGAGUAAUGAUUAAGAGGAACAGUUGGGGGCAUUCGUAUUUCAUUGUCAGAGGUGAAAUUCUUGGAUUUAUGAAAGACGAACUUCUGCGAAAGCAUUUGCCAAGGAUGUUUNCAUUAA
RNAcentral lists this ribosomal RNA (375 nucleotides) under uncultured eukaryote. Its description in RNAcentral is "partial 18S ribosomal RNA". It matches the Rfam family "Eukaryotic small subunit ribosomal RNA", at positions 592 to 976 of the family's 1831-position model. The record is from RNAcentral.